This 3913-nucleotide long non-coding RNA is filed under the name Pan troglodytes (chimpanzee). Its description in RNAcentral is "long non-coding RNA NONPTRT000755". Lineage: Eukaryota; Metazoa; Chordata; Mammalia; Primates; Hominidae. The record is from RNAcentral.
GAGCAGUUCUGUCUCCUGCUCUAGCUUGAGCAGCUUCAGAUAAAGUUCUGGUAUCUGGUUUGAUGCUGCCUACCAGAAAACAUGUCAGUUUCGUCUUUUGUUGUAUCAUCUGCAUAUCCUUUGAGACUGGCAAUGUUUGCUACCAUGGGAAAAUCAAAUGGGAUGGGAGUGUGUGUAUGGUGAGCAGAGUUUAAGCCCCUCAGGGUACACAGGAGUAAAUAAAGAAAACGUUUGUUAAGGGGGAAGGAACGUCAAGCAGCCGUCAUCAGAGAUUUUCUAGCCACCUGGGAUGCCCACUUUAGUGUCCUAUGUACACACUUGGCUUAUAUCCUUCACAGUGGAAAUUUUCUUGGUGUCUACCAGGAUGUGGCCUUCACCUGUGACCCUGAGGCCCAGCUGAGAGCAGCUCAGCUCGGUGCAGCCUUCUGUAAUGGGGAGAGACACCGUCAAAGAAAGAAACAUCCCAGUCGCCCAGCUCCAGUGUCAGUUGACGCCAAGGCACCGGACAAUGUGAAUCUGAAAAUCCAUCCUCUUGCCCAGCAGCUCCAAAGGGUCGAUAACCACAUCCUCCUCGCCAUGCGUUCUACAAACAGAAGAGUCUAGAGAAGAACCCCAGGCCUGCAAGCUCAGAAACGGACUCGGACAGCUUUCCAACAAGGGACUGCUGUCCUAUCAGCCAGGCUCACAAAGUCUGAAACCUUUCAAAUUAAAUUCAUUAAUUUGCAACAAGAAAUACAACUUGCUGGGCAGCCCAGAAGCUCGAGGUAGCCAAGUGAUCAGAGUAAAGGCAGUGAGUUGUUGGGCAGCUUGGUUUCUUGGUCACAGAACGUUGAGGUUCUCUUCUUGAGCUGAUUCUUCAGAAAGAUGGAAAGGUUGCACUGAGUGCCUGUUGAGGGCCUUGGCACCCAGACCAGGCCACCGCCAGCCUCUUGGCUUAGGGUUGCUAAAAGACUUUUGCUUUUGUAAAAACUGCCUGUGACAGAUGAGUAUCCAGAGAGGACAGUUGAGGGUAACGAGGCAACGUUUAGGACAGAGCCAAUAGCUCAAAACAAAGCCUGUGCCCACAGAAAGGUCAGGUGACAGCACAGAAUGAGGUCAGGCUUCACCGUCCCUACCUCGAGAAAAGGGCUGAGCUGGAAAAUCAGCUUCUGCUUCUGGCUCUUGAAGCAGGUUGGGCCCUCAGCAUGGGAAAGCGUCCCACGCGGCACAUGCCAGGCCCACAGGGCCAGGAGGGGAGUGUGGCUGGGGAGGCCCUGCAACCCACUUGGCUUCUCUCCUGAGGGUCCAUUGUUUGGAACCCACCCAGCUCUUUCGGUUUUGUCCAAGGUUCCUUCCACUAUACCUGCCUCUGCCAGAUGUCCUCCUCAUUCCUCAGGUCCCCCAGGGGACAGCAAAAAUCACAUUCGUUGAGGCCAAAUGGUGAAUGAAUGAGCUCUUUCAUUUGUCUUAUGAAUGACCUGUUCAGGGUACCAAGUUGACCACCCCGUCAGGAGAACUCAGGCCUGCUCUGGAUUUUAUGUGUGUGACUGACCCAGAAGUAGGCAGGGGGGAGAAGGAGACACUCACUGUCCUGUUGGGGAGCAGGGUGCUAUGCAGGUAUGCAGCACCGCCUCCUCCAGCCUGUCACAGUUCAGAAACUCCACUUGCUCCUCCAGCUUCAUGCAGUAGGCCAGCGACUGGAGCCAGAUGUGAGCUGAGCCCAAACAGACGACCUCGACAGGAUCCCAGAAAGGGUCGUCUUCUCGAGCCACAGGGCCGUGAUCUCCAUCUAGAAAGCGCUGGUAAAGUUCCUGCAUUAGGAAUUUCCUAUUGAUGAACUUGGCUUUUGACCAUAUCCACACCUGGAAACACAGAGGAAAGCAGAGAGACAGAGUGUGAAAUCGCUGCUCUCAGAUCAGCACACGGGAGAGGCCAGCAGUCAGGAGGGGGCUCACCGAGUUUGUCUGCACUCGCUCCCUCCGCAGCCGCCCUCUCCAGCUGGAAGAAGUCGUAAUCGAACCUGCUCAGGUCCUCACUGCCCCACUCCGAAGGAAACCCCACGUACAGGUGAGGUCAGAGGAGUGAAGUGACUUGCCCAAGACCACACAGCGAGUCAGGAGCAGGCCUGUCCCUCCAGCAGUGGUGCCAUGUUGUCCCCAAGCCAUGGUGGCAGAGGAGCUGGUGUGAAUGCCCCAUCCUGCCACGUCUGUGAUGUGGGCACCUCACAUGACUGUCCCCUCCCAGCUUUUGGGGGGGACCUAGGACAUUCUGUGAGCCUGCAGGAAAGUUUACCAAAUGCUGCAGCUUUGUCCUGGUGGUGAUGGGCACCCCAUUAACGGCAACCUUGCAUUUGCUGUGUGGAGUGACCAUCACUUUACCGUCGGCAUUUGUGAAGGAAGCGUGUUUAUCUGAAAUUCUAAGAAGACGAGAGUCAGUCUAAGACACCCAGCAAACGGCGGUUUCCGUGAGCAGGUACGCUGACCUUUCUCAUGUGCACGGGAGGGAAGGUCUACAGCUGCGGAGGAUGGCAGGUGGCAUCUCGGGGCCUCCUGUGUGCUGUGGCCCAUGAUGCAUGGGGACAGCAGCGGGCGCAGAAGGACCCUGCCCUUGGGGAGCACGGGGAGCUGGGAGACAGCAGGUAAGGGCUUCAUAACAGAACGAACACCAGCUGAGGGCCUAGCGCUGCGGGGAGCCGGCCAAGGCCACACUGGAGUCCUCCCGCUCCCAGGCCAGCGGGAUGGGGUGGUGGGAAAAUGGCAGCAAGCAAGCUUCAGAAGAGACACUCAGGAGGCGACUCUUAACGAGCCUCACCUACUCCGGGUACGUUUUGAUCUGUUUCUGCGCCCUCGCCGUAUAAAUUCAGACCUUAUAGGAUUUGGGGCUGGACAUCAGGGGUGUCAGGUUGGUGUCCCCCCUCCCCGCCCUGCUCCCCUGCACCGGAUGUCAUCUGUGUGUCCUGAAUGACUGGCUCCCUGCCUUAGCAUGUUCCAUGUUCCUGCACUCCUUGGCCAUCAUGGAAUGUUCUGGAUGUGGAGACCCGUGUGCAUCCAAACCCUUUUUUGCAUGGGGCCCAGGGAUCCUGUGGGAAAGGUUGCGGCCUCAUCACUGGAGUUCAGACAUUUACGCACCUGUGUGUUGGACUAAGGACGUGUUCUGGAAAGGGACUUGAGGGGGAUCCCCAGGAAGAUGUCCCAAGAAGGAGGCUGGCAGUGCAGGACGAGGCGGGGCCAGCCAGCCCCUGGGUCAGCACCCCUCCAGCCACGACGGCCCGUGGGCUUUCGUACGGGGAUGGGGGUGAUCUGUCUGAAGGACGCAGGUGAUGGUGCUUCCCAGCUGGAGACACUCCAGCAGCAGCCUCCCAGGCAGGGCAGCCACAGAGCUGGGGACAGCUCUUGACUGGGUGAGGCCCGGCAUGGGGUUUCCCAGGGCUCCUGCAGGGGCCUCCUGAGGGAGCCCCAGGGGUCACUCCACAGUCUGGGCUUUCUGUAGUCUGGUGGGUCAGGGCUCCAAGCACUAGGAGAGAUCCAGGGAUGCGCUUAUGUUUGGGCCACCCCCGGUGGGCUUGUUCGUUCAGCCCCCUUCGUUUCCUGGCCUGCUCUACUUACAUCUGUUUGUGAAGAAUUAUUACACAGAAUCUAGAAACCAGCUUUCCCUUUUCUCCCAGGGUUGGAGCCCAGGAAGCAAACCAGCACUGCACCCUAGAUUUCAGCCAGAGGACGAAAGCCCUGCCCUCAGCUUUCUCAGACCAGCCCUGGAGUAGGUGGCCCGGGGAGACCUGGGCAGUGUCCCUGCUUGUCCUGCAGACUGUGUGGCUCUGCAGACCUCUAGAUGGAGGAGGCACAAUUCUCUAAUGCUAGACGAGGACACUGAUCAUGGAAACUCACCCCAAACCUUGAAUCGUGAUAGCAUUUGAGACAGCCCGACCAGCGUCACA